CAGUUUCUUAAAUAGUCUCUCUUCAG
Molecule: non-coding RNA, 26 nt
Filed under: Rattus norvegicus (Norway rat)
Lineage: Eukaryota; Metazoa; Chordata; Mammalia; Rodentia; Muridae
Source: RNAcentral